CUGAACACGGACCAAGGAGUCUAGAAUGUGCGCGAGUCAAAGGGCUGGCUAAACCCCUAAGCGCAACGAAAGUGAAUGAUGGGAGAAGCGGAGUCAGGCGGUAUAGGGGGUUCGCUCCCUCGUUAUGUAUCUCCGUUUCUCUCUUGGACCGAUCCGGCUUCGACUCUUCGAAAGGGGAGUCGAAUCGCCUCUUUAGAGCUCAUCACGCAGUUCGAAGGAGGACGGCGCAGGUCCGGGGCUCGCCGGCUUCCUUCCCGUCGCUAACGCUAACGCCGUUGCGUUCCGGCGGUCGUUCCUCGGUGGCGUCCUUCCUUCGGCGUCGUCGCUCAGUCGUUCCUCUCGGGGGGCGGCGGCGGCGGCGUCGGGGGAGGUUCAACGCCUCGCCUCGGAGCGGCUACGUUCGGUCGUCGGCUCGCGGACGGGGACGAGCGGCGGGUACCUCGAGCGUAUUUUCUAGUACCCGAAAGAUGGUGAUCUAUGCCUGGCCAGGAUGAAGCCAGAGGAAACUCUGGUGGAGGUCCGUAGCGAUUCUGACGUGCAAAUCGAUCGUCGG
This 553-nucleotide ribosomal RNA is filed under the name Miktoniscus sp. Its description in RNAcentral is "partial large subunit ribosomal RNA". It matches the Rfam family "Eukaryotic large subunit ribosomal RNA", at positions 654 to 908 of the family's 3401-position model. Lineage: Eukaryota; Metazoa; Arthropoda; Malacostraca; Isopoda; Trichoniscidae. The record is from RNAcentral.